UACAGAGGUCUCAAGCGUUGUUCGGAUUCAUUGGGCGUAAAGGGUGCGUAGGUGGCGUCGUAAGUGGGGUGUGAAAUCCCGGGGCUUAACCCCGGGACUGCAUUCCAUGCUGCGGUGCUUGAGGACUGGAGAGGAGACUGGAAUUUACGGUGUAGCAGUGAAAUGCGUAGAGAUCGUAAGGAAGACCAGUGGCGAAGGCGGGUCUCUGGACAGUUCCUGACACUGAGGCACGAAGGCCAGGGGAGCAAACGGG
This 253-nucleotide ribosomal RNA is filed under the name uncultured bacterium. RNAcentral's name for it is "partial 16S ribosomal RNA". It matches the Rfam family "Bacterial small subunit ribosomal RNA", at positions 524 to 776 of the family's 1533-position model. The record is from RNAcentral.